AGCGAACGCUGGCGGCAUGCCUAACACAUGCAAGUCGCACGGGGGGGCUUCGGCCUCCCAGUGGCGGACGGGUGAGGAACGCGUAGGGACCUGUCGAGGGGUGGGGGAUAACCGCGGGAAACUGCGGCUAAUACCGCAUGACGCCGCGGCGUGACAGCCGGGGCCAAAGGCGAAAGCCGCCCGCCGAGGGGCCUGCGUCCGAUUAGCUGGUUGGCGGGGUAGCGGCCCACCAAGGCGUCGAUCGGUAGCUGGGCUGAGAGGGUGAUCAGCCACACCGGGACUGAGACACGGCCCGGACUCCUACGGGAGGCAGCAGUGGGGAAUAUUGGACGAUGGGCGCAAGCCUGAUCCAGCAAUGCCGCGUGGGUGAAGAAGGUCUUCGGAUUGUAAAGCCCUUUCGGCGGGGACGAUGGUGACGGUACCCGCAGAAGAAGCCCCGGCUAACUUCGUG
This 451-nucleotide ribosomal RNA is filed under the name uncultured bacterium. RNAcentral's name for it is "partial 16S ribosomal RNA". It matches the Rfam family "Bacterial small subunit ribosomal RNA", at positions 28 to 507 of the family's 1533-position model. The record is from RNAcentral.